This is a long non-coding RNA of Rosa chinensis, 1349 nucleotides long. RefSeq lists it as uncharacterized. The transcript has 6 exons. NCBI's taxonomy places the organism in Eukaryota, Viridiplantae, Streptophyta, Magnoliopsida, Rosales, Rosaceae. The record is from RefSeq and is a predicted model, not a curated record.
UCAAUUUUUUGACUCUCUCCAUUUCGAUGAAUAACACAACAUCAUUUUAAUACUUCGUGUAUAUAUGCAAGAUAGCCAAACACCAAAAGUCCAAAACCCUCUCUCUAUUUCAAUCUUUUCACCAAAAUCCCUCUCUCACAGUCAAGAGUGUGAGAGAGAAGAUGGAGGGGGAAUCGUACCAGGGUGAAAAUCCAUGAAAUGAGGCACGACUACCUCAAGUUUGAGCUCCGCGACACCGACGCGAGCGUGGCCAAUGCGCUCCGGCGCUGAUGAUCGCCGAGGUCCCCAUGGUCGCCAUCGACUUCAUCGAGAUCGAAAUCAACUCCUCUACCUCGGCCUCAUCCCCUUGACUCCGGCCUCGGCCUCAUCCACACUGUCGUCCCCGUCGAUUUCUCUGGCGACUCUGGUUAUGAAGCUUCCAAAUAGAGAGGGAUUAUCAUUGUGAAGUUACGAAGCGGGAAUCACUGCCUGCAAGGUUGAUCCUAAUACUGGCAAGUUGCUCGGCAAACGACGUCGUCUGUUCGCUCCAAUCCAGCGUCUUCUUCCACUUCACAGCGCUCCGUCACUCCCACUUCUCGGAUUCUGACCUCCAAUUCCGAGUUUCAGCAAGAUGCUGGAAGAGUGAGUGGUUGCUAUUAGAGUUCGGCCAAGAAAUGAUGAGGAUCGAAUUUCUGAUUUGGAUUACGGCGACAGUGUUGAGGUCCAGCCAGAGUUGAAGGGUUAAAGUUGAGGAAAAACAAUUUGAUGUCCGAGUCUUAUAGAUUUGAUGAAAUUUUUACUGAGACUGCCUCGCAAAACCGUGUUUAACAAGUGGUAACAAAGCCUGUUGUUGAGAGUGUAUUGAAUGGAAAUAAUGGGACAGUCAUGGCUUACGGUCAAACUGGUACAGGGAAGAUUUACACACUUGGCAGGCUGGGUUGUGAUGAUGCAUUGGAGCGUGGUAUUAUGGUUAGAGCUUUGGAGGACAUUAUUUUGAGUACGGCUCCGGAGUCUGAUACAGUGGAAGUUUCAUACUUGCAGGUAAUCUGGUGAGCCUCUUAGCAAGGAUACAAAGAUUUGGGAGUCUCAAGUUGGAGGAUCAUUCACAGUGACUAGGGACUCUAGCGAGCCUCUUGGCAUGGGUACAAAACUGUCGUCACUUGACCGCAAGGAGGACUAGCUUAAGUACCUUGAAGAGCACAGGCUCAAGGAUUUUAUCAAGAUUGCGCUCAAGAAUUUAUUCAAGAAGCACUUUGUGUAUUGAUCAGUUACCCAAUUUGCAGCAUUUUGUUAUGUUUUAUUGUUUUCUUUCGAUGCUAUUGCAUCUCCCAUGUGCUCAGUUUGAUUUAAUAAAGAUUGUUGUUCUUCCA